Molecule: ribosomal RNA, 318 nt
Filed under: uncultured bacterium
Lineage: Bacteria
Description: bacterial SSU rRNA
Rfam family: Bacterial small subunit ribosomal RNA
Source: RNAcentral
AUGAUGAUUAUAUGAAAACCUUGGUGGUGACGGAUGGGCAUGCGUAGCAUUAGCUAGAUGGUGCGGUAACGGCGUACCAUGGCGACGAUGCUUAGGGGUUCUGAGAGGAAGGUCCCCCACACUGGUACUGAGAUACGGACCAGACUCCUACGGGAGGCAGCAGUGAGGAAUAUUGGUCAAUGGUCGGAAGACUGAACUAGCCAAGUAGCGUGAAGGAUGAAGGUUCUAUGGAUUGUAAACUUCUUUUAUACGGGAAUAAAACACCUUACGUGUAGGGUCUUGUAUGUACCGUAUGAAUAAGCAUCGGCUAACUCCGUG